GGUCUGGUGGUCUAGUGGUAUGAUUCGCGCUUAGGGAUUGCGCGAGGUCCGUAAGUACUAUCAUACAUUCAAAUUUCAACUUGCAAGUCAAUCAAUUCUAACAACAUCACAGCGGGUUCAAUCCCCGGCCAGACCC
Molecule: non-coding RNA, 136 nt
Organism: Cytospora paraplurivora
Lineage: Eukaryota; Fungi; Ascomycota; Sordariomycetes; Diaporthales; Cytosporaceae
Source: the annotation of a GenBank genome assembly